This 549-nucleotide ribosomal RNA is filed under the name uncultured bacterium. Its description in RNAcentral is "bacterial SSU rRNA". It matches the Rfam family "Bacterial small subunit ribosomal RNA", at positions 355 to 896 of the family's 1533-position model. The record is from RNAcentral.
UGGGGAAUAUUGGACAAUGGGCGAAAGCCUGAUCCAGCCAUGCCGCGUGUGUGAAGAAGGCCUUUUGGUUGUAAAGCACUUUAAGUGGGGAGGAAAAGCUUGUGGUUAAUACCCAUAAGCCCUGACGUUACCCACAGAAUAAGCACCGGCUAACUCUGUGCCAGCAGCCGCGGUAAUACAGAGGGUGCAAGCGUUAAUCGGAAUUACUGGGCGUAAAGCGCGCGUAGGUGGUUAUUUAAGUCAGAUGUGAAAGCCCCGGGCUUAACCUGGGAACUGCAUCUGAUACUGGAUAACUAGAGUAGGUGAGAGGGGAGUAGAAUUCCAGGUGUAGCGGUGAAAUGCGUAGAGAUCUGGAGGAAUACCGAUGGCGAAGGCAGCCCCCUGGCAUCAUACUGACACUGAGGUGCGAAAGCGUGGGUAGCAAACAGGAUUAGAUACCCUGGUAGUCCACGCCGUAAACGAUGUCUACCAGUCGUUGGGUCUUUUAAAGACUUAGUGACGCAGUUAACGCAAUAAGUAGACCGCCUGGGGAGUACGGCCGCAAGGUUA